RNAcentral lists this ribosomal RNA (253 nucleotides) under uncultured bacterium. Its description in RNAcentral is "partial 16S ribosomal RNA". It matches the Rfam family "Bacterial small subunit ribosomal RNA", at positions 524 to 776 of the family's 1533-position model. The record is from RNAcentral.
UACGGGGGGGGCAAGCGUUGUUCGGAAUUACUGGGCGUAAAGCGUGCGUAGACGGUUAUUUAAGUCGGGUGUGAAAGCCCCGGGCUCAACCUGGGAAUUGCAUUCGAGACUGAAUAGCUAGGGUACGGAAGAGGCGAGUGGAAUUCCUGGUGUAGCGGUGAAAUGCGCAGAUAUCAGGAGGAACAACAAUUGCGAAGGCAGCUCGCUGGGACGUUACUGACGCUGAGACGCGAAAGCGUGGGGAGCAAACAGG